Molecule: long non-coding RNA, 1143 nt
Filed under: Felis catus (domestic cat)
Lineage: Eukaryota; Metazoa; Chordata; Mammalia; Carnivora; Felidae
Description: lncRNA (ENSFCAG00000048954.1)
Source: RNAcentral
UGAGCAAUUAAGAGAAAUUUUACUCACUGAUAGAAAUUAUAUUAGCCUAGAAAACAUGGUGCGUUUUUCAUAAUUCUCUGUCAUUCUUGCCCCUGAAAUAAGAAAGAUUUCCAGCCAACUAGUACUGGGUUUCUUUUAACACUAGUAUUUCUACUUUUUGGCUGUUCUAAGUUUCUCUAGUGAUAAUAUCAUUGAAAAUGUAAUUGUUGCACUCAAAUAUUUAUUUUAUUUCCUUGAACUAUUAAGUUUUCAUGAGAUGCUCAUAGAAUCUUUUGUUUCAUGGACCAUAAAUAAACCCCCAAAGCACCACUUCAGCACAUUUCUAAUUGUAAUGCACCGUGUAAUGUUAUAGGCCAUUAUACAGAUGUUUUCUGUUAUUGUUAGGUGGCAGACAAUGACAUUGAAAUGUGUGCUUGCCUUAGAGAGAUAGUGUGAACUCAAUCACGAGUCUUAAUGUAAUAGUUUUUUUUUUAACUCCAGAAACCCAAAUUUAUUUAGCUGUGUUUGCCCUUCAAGUAUGCGGUUACAUUCGGAUUCUUAGGAAUAACAAUCCAAGCCCUGAUUUCCCUGAAUUAAAUACAAAUGAAUAGUUUAAGAAAAAUCCCUGGCAAAAGAGGAAGUUUACUAAAAAACGACAACAAAAAAAACUGGCAAAGCUUCACGUGCUCUGAAGAAUCUAAAGCUUCUUUUCAUCAAUUGAAGAAAGCUUCCUAUGGCCCAUUUGUGAGGGAAAUAUGAAAUAGUAAGGGAAUAGUUACUGGGUAUCUAUUAAGUGGAAAUCAAAGUAUUAGGUAGUAGGACAACAGAGACAUGAUGAGAUGGUGAGGUAGUGGGGGAAAAACCCAAAUCCGUAUGCACCCCUGCCUUAAUUUCUUCUGAGUCCCCAAGCAGUGCGUUCCCCAGCUCAUCCAGCUGGCUCCUACCAUAGCCCUGCCCACUAGGGAACGCUGCUAUUCCAGCUGUAGGAAUAGAGUAUGGAAACGCCUUACUUCCCCUUGGGCACUACUACAGCUAGUUAGGAGAUCCAAAGUUAACUUGUAUUAAAAAAGAAAAACUUAAAUUGUAAUAAGGCAUAACUAAAGGCAAAAUGAGAGAGAGAGAGAGAGAGAGAGAGAGAGAGAACCAACGAUUAAUUUGUCAUAU